GGUUUCUUGAAGUUAGUCAUACAUUGACAUGUUUGCAAAUACAAUAAAGUAGACCUAUUAUAAAAAAAAAGAUGUAUUGACGGUUAAAAUGUACAUUUUCUUCUUUAGGUUUUGUGCUAACCAUCCACAUAGUAUAUACAUAUACAAGAGGCUUGAAUAUAAUGCAUUCGUUCUUCCUAUUAUGUUGACAUUUGCUUCAUUGGCUAAUAUCGGGUUACAUGUGUGGUCGCCACACAAUUCUUAUGUAUCAAUUCGUAUGUCAACACACUGGCCAGAAUUCAGGAUUGUUUUUCCAACAACUUUGUAUUGCAACAGACACCGUUAAAUAAAAUCAUCAAUAAUAGUUUCUGAAUUAUUGUAGUUGCUCAAAGUUGUAUUUGGAAGCCCUUGUCUCUGUGUCCUUCCCAGUAUUACUUAAAGAGAUCGUACUGGGUGGAAGAAAGAUACUUUGGUUUCCAUUCUUGUCUUUAUUCCCUAGUUCUUCUCAUGCAAGACAUUGGAAGAAAAGUUUUUCACAUUUUGGAAGUAAGCAGCAAGCAAAAUCACCUUGUAUCAUCAUAAAUUGGUGACAUUACAUGCAAAAUCCAGAUGGAAGCCAGAAAUCCACAGAAAAGAGAUCUGACCCAACCCUGAAAGCUUGACGUGGUUUUAAGACCGGAUGUCUAUGCAGCCAAGAUCCUAUCUGAAAGCAAGGGGGUGGUGGAACAUACACUGACGCUGUUCUGAAAGCAAGGAGAACAUACACUGACACUGUUCUGAAAGCAAGGGGAACAUACACUGAUGCUGUUCUGAAAGCAAGGGGGGAGAAGAACAUACACUGACUCUGUUCUGAAUGCAAGGGGGUAGUGGAACAUACACUGACUCUGUUCUGAAUGCAAGGGGGUAGUGGAACAUACACUGACGUUCUGAAAGCUUGUUGCUAUUUUGUUCUGUGUAAGGAUAGUGUAAUUUGCGCACCUUUUCACAAGUUGUGGAUCUAAAGAGAAGCUUUAUGUUGGUCACUUCUUGUCACAAAACAUGACUUAUAUUACAGCUUUUGAUGUUUUAGGUAGAUCUAAUGGCAUUCUUUGGUUUAUUUCCAUUGGUCCUUUGCUUGCAUUGUCAAUCCCAGUAAUGUUGCAAUUGGUAGUGAAAGGCUGACCUGAAGUAAUCCUUCAUUGCCUUGUCAAGUGGAGAUAUCUCUUGUCUAGAUUUAAAACGGUCAGCAUGUAUAGGUGGAGGAGAGCAAUGUUCCACCAGGUCUGCCACUUCGCAAAGUGAUCAUUUCGAAAAAAAACUCUUUAUUUGACCUAAAUGGGGCUGUCUGUCACUGGGAUCAGAUGGAGUGGAGUAAACUCCUUGGUAGAGGUCUCUGCCACACAGGCUGGGUAGAUACAGAUCACAUAAACUGCUGCCGCCGCACAGGAAAUCACAUUAUCCGGCCUUCGACCAGAGCAGAGCCCCACACUGUCACGAUGCAAAGUCGUUACCAUGGAGACUGACUCACCACACCACAUCCCAGGUUGUCUUAGCUCCCCAAGGUGGGAAAACAGUGCUGUGUUAUAAUAAAUGAACAACAAUUCUGUAUCUGGACUCAAGAAGACUAAUGUGUUAUGAAUGGAGAUGUGUCUGCUGGUCCAUCCGUCAUCAUCAUCAUCCAACUCAGCUAUA
This is a long non-coding RNA of Clupea harengus (Atlantic herring), 1650 nucleotides long. Lineage: Eukaryota; Metazoa; Chordata; Actinopteri; Clupeiformes; Clupeidae. The record is from Ensembl.